RNAcentral lists this ribosomal RNA (346 nucleotides) under uncultured prokaryote. RNAcentral's name for it is "bacterial SSU rRNA". It matches the Rfam family "Bacterial small subunit ribosomal RNA", at positions 8 to 352 of the family's 1533-position model. The record is from RNAcentral.
AGAGUUUGAUCCUGGCUCAGGACGAACGCUGGCGGCAUGCUUUACACAUGCAAGUCGAACGGCAGCACGGGGGCAACCCUGGUGGCGAGUGGCGAACGGGUGAGUAAUGCAUCGGAACGUAUCCUUGAGUGGGGGAUAACGCAGCGAAAGUUGUGCUAAUACCGCAUAAUCUCUGAGGAGGAAAGGCGGGGAUCACGUAAGUGACCUGUCGCUGAAAGAGCGGCCGAUGGUCGAUUAGCUAGUUGGCGGGGUAAAAGCCCACCAAGGCGAUGAUCGAUAGCGGGUCUGAGAGGACGAUCCGUCACACUGGGACUGAGACACGGCCCAGACUCCUACGGGAGGCGAC